RNAcentral lists this ribosomal RNA (791 nucleotides) under uncultured archaeon. RNAcentral describes it as "bacterial SSU rRNA". It matches the Rfam family "Archaeal small subunit ribosomal RNA", at positions 545 to 1338 of the family's 1478-position model. The record is from RNAcentral.
GAAAAGACUUCAGCUCAACUGAAGAUAUUUUGGAGAGACUGCAAAUCUAGGGACCGGGUGAGGUUGAAUGUACUUCCGGGGUAGGGGUAAAAUCCUGUAAUCCUGGAAGGACGACCGGUGGCGAAGGCGUUCAACUAGAACGGAUCCGACGGUGAGGAACGAAGGCUAGGGGAGCAAACCGGAUUAGAUACCCGGGUAGUCCUAGCUGUAAACACUGCCCACUUGGUGUUGCAUCUCCGGUAAGGGGGUGCAGUGCCGUAGCGAAGGUGUUAAGUGGGCCGCUUGGGGAGUAUGGUCGCAAGGCUGAAACUUAAAGGAAUUGGCGGGAGAGCACCGCAACGGGAGGAGCGUGCGGUUUAAUUGGAUUCAACGCCGGAAAACUCACCGGAGGCGACCUAUGUAUGAGAGUCAACCUGAUGAGUUUACUCGAUAGUAGGAGAGGUGGUGCAUGGCCGUCGUCAGCUCGUACCGUAGGGCGUUCACUUAAGUGUGAUAACGAGCGAGACCCCCAUCUUCAAUUGCUAAUUCAAUCGUGAGGUUGGAAGAACUUUGAAGGGACCGCCAGCGCAGAGCUGGAGGAAGGAGGGGUCGACGGCAGGUCAGUACGCCCCGAAUCUUCCGGGCUACACGCGCGCUACAAAGGACAGGACAAUGGGCUGCGACCUCGAAAGGGGAAGCCAAUCCCGAAACCUGUUCGUAGUUAGGAUUGAGGGCUGUAACUCGCCCUCAUGAAUCUGGAUUCCGUAGUAAUCGCGGGUCAACAUCCCGCGGUGAAUAUGCCCCUGCUCUUU